GGGGAAUAUUGGACAAUGGGCGAAAGCCUGAUCCAGCCAUGCCGCGUGUGUGAAGAAGGUCUUCGGAUUGUAAAGCACUUUAAGUUGGGAGGAAGGGCAGUUACCUAAUACGUGAUUGUUUUGACGUUACCGACAGAAUAAGCACCGGCUAACUCUGUGCCAGCAGCCGCGGUAAUACAGAGGGUGCAAGCGUUAAUCGGAAUUACUGGGCGUAAAGCGCGCGUAGGUGGUUAGUUAAGUUGGAUGUGAAAUCCAACGGCUUAACCGUUGAACUGCAUUUGAAACUGCAAGGCUAGAGUAUGGGAGAGGUAGGUGGAAUUCUCGGUGUAGGGGUAAAAUCCGUAGAGAUCGAGAGGAAUACUCAUUGCGAAGGCGACCUGCUGGAACAUUACUGACGCUGAGGUGCGAAAGCGUGGGGAGCAAACA
RNAcentral lists this ribosomal RNA (426 nucleotides) under uncultured Wolinella sp. Its description in RNAcentral is "bacterial SSU rRNA". It matches the Rfam family "Bacterial small subunit ribosomal RNA", at positions 356 to 774 of the family's 1533-position model. The record is from RNAcentral. Lineage: Bacteria; Pseudomonadati; Campylobacterota; Epsilonproteobacteria; Campylobacterales; Helicobacteraceae.